UAGAAUAUAGAAACAGCGCAAGAAGAGCAUCGCCUUCGCUUUCAAUAAUAAUGCCGUUGGCUUUGUCUCUGCUUUUCUUUUUUACUCUUUUUAGGCAAAAACAUACAAACCAGUGUGCAGUGCGACACUCAAAAAAUUUCAUUCUUCAAACUCUACUUCUGCAUCUAUAUUUUCUUUUGCUUCUUCUAAUCCAAAGGUUACUAUUCAUCACUUCCGUUUUCAAUUCCACUGAUUCACUUGCUGUCUUUUUCUCUUAAGUCUCAAGCUUUCAAAAUCUCUGCUUUCUCAGCGUUCAUACUCCAAAGUCUCGUCUUUAGUGGGUUUCUAUUUGUUUUCUGAGAAAAUAUUCAAUGAAGCAAGAGAAAAGGAUAUAAAGUUUGGAAUAUUUUUCCAGUUGUGUUAACAAUGGGCUGCCUAAAGUGGGGAACGUUUUCUGGGUUGGUGGUGGCGGCUUUUACGGUGUCGUUCUGUGUUGCUCUAACUGACCCUCGUGAUGUUGUGGCGAUGAAUAGCUUGUGCUUCUCUCUGAACUUCCCGCCCUUGCUUGGAUGGGUUCCUGUUGGAGGAGAUCCUUGUGGAGAGGAAUGGCAAGGUGUCAGCUGCGUCUUCUAUAACAUAACUUCACUGAAACUAAAUGGGAUGAAUUUAGGAGGAUCCUUGGACAAUAACUUGGUGCUAUUCGAAUCUAUCAUAGAAAUAGAUCUGAGCAACAAUCAUAUUGGAGGGAGUAUUCCAUCCGACUUACCCCUUACCUUGAGGAGCUUUUCUCUUGCUGGUAAUCAGUUCAAUGGAAGUGUCCCAGAUUCAUUGUCUUCAUUAACUCAAUUGUCAUACUUGUCAUUAAACAAUAAUCAUCUUACUGGAGGAAUACCAGAUGCCUUUCAGCAUAUGACAAGCUUGACAAAUUUGGAUCUCUCUGGUAACAAUUUGAGUGGUCAGUUGCCUCCAUCAUUAGGAAAUUUGUCAUCUCUUAGUUCACUGCAUUUGCAGAAUAAUAAACUCAUUGGGGUCCUUGAUGUUCUACAGGAUCUUCCUCUACAGGAUUUGAAUGUAGAUAACAAUCUGUUUUCGGGACCUGUACCUGCAAAGCUGCUGAAUAUUCCAAAUUUUAGAAGAGAUGGAAACCCAUUCAACACAACCAUUAUUCCUUCUCCGCCACUUGCAGUUCCUCCAUCUCCAGCCAUGUCACCAUCUCCUGCAGAAACACCUGAGAAGAAGGAACAUGGGCCACCUACUCCACAAACACCAAGGUCAUUCUUUACAAUUAAGAGGGUCAUUGGAAUUGCUGUUUCAGUGGUGGUGGUAAUUAUCAUAUUAGGAGCAUGUCUUUUAAUGUCAAAACGCUGGAAAAUAAAGCAAGUGAAGGAAGAUGCCAAAAGGCAUGAUCUAGGUGCUUAUAAGGGCCACAAGGAGAAGCCUAUUUGCAAACUUCCUUUUCAACCAUAUAAUCAAGAGGAGAAAGAUAACCGAAAAUUGGAGAUAAGCACAAAGCUACAGGAUGAGCAGGGAAAAAGUCGGACCCAGAUGUCUGCACUGUCAAGGAACAAUAUGGAUCAUGAGAUAGAUAUGAAUUUUUUGCCACUGCAGCCACCGGCUGCCCCUCCUCCUUGCCUUCCUGUUGACAAGGUCAUUGUCAAUCCAAUUUUGCCUGCAGAAGCAUAUGCAAGGAGUAGUUCAACUAAGAGUCUGAAGUCCUCAAGUUCUGUAAGAGUUUUCACCAUUGCAACACUUCAGCAAUAUACAAAUAGUUUUUCAGAAGAAAAUUUUGUUGGAGAGGGCACACUAGGCAGUGUUUACAAGGCUGAGCUUCCUGAUGGGAAGCUACUGGCAGUCAAGAAACUAAACAGUAUGGCUAUCAGGCAACAGACAGACAAGGAAUUCCUUGACCUGGUUUCUGCUAUUUCUAAAAUUCGACAUGCAAACAUUGUGGAAUUUGUGGGUUACUGUCAUGAGCACGGCCAACGAUUACUUGUUCAUGAGUACUAUGAAACAGGGACGCUUCAUGAUGCACUGCAUGUGGAUGAUGAGAUCCAUAAGAAACUUUCAUGGAAUGCACGCAUCCAGCUGGCGCUAGGAGCAGCUAGAGCCCUACAGUAUCUGCAUGAAGUCUGUCAGCCAUCCAUUGUGCACAGGAAUUUCAGAUCUUGUAAUAUUCUCCUUGAUGAAAAGCUUGCAGCAUGUGUAUCAGACUGUGGUUUGGCCCCUCUACAAUCAUCUGGCUCUGCAAGUGAGUUAUCAGGACGCCUCCUUAGCACAUAUGGCUAUGGCGCUCCAGAGCUUGAGUUGGGAAGUUAUACUUGCAAGAGUGAUGUAUAUAGCUUUGGAGUUGUAAUGCUAGAACUCCUUACAGGAAGGAAGUCCUAUGACAGUCGAAUCUAGGUCACGUAGUCGAGGUGAGCAAUCUCUGGUUAGAUGGGCAAUUCCUCGGCUUCAUGAUAUAGAUUCACUCUCUGGGAUGGUUGACCCUUCUUUAAAUGGAGCAUAUCCUGUCAAGUCUUUAUCACGUUUUGCUGAUAUAAUAUCCAGAUGUGUUCAGUGGGAGCCAGAAUUCAGGCCACCAGUGUCUGAAGUUGUCCAGGACCUUUUACGCAUGAUAUGAUGAAGAGGAGAAUGUCAAGCAGUCAAUCAACUGAAACAUAGAUUUUGUUCAGAUAGGAAGAACUCAAUGAAGAACAGUAAUUGCAACGUAAAAUAGAUAAAAUUAUCCGUCUUUCACAUUCUGAGGCUUGCUAGGAUGGAAAUUUCUAGAGGUAACCUAGCUGUAAAUUAUUCUAUUGUUUGUAUCUGAUAUUCAGUGUUUAUAUAUAUAUAUAUAUAUAUGUGUAUACUUGGAGAUAUAUUCAUUUAUUUGUUAUCAUCAUUUUGUGUGAAUAUUACAGUUU
Non-coding RNA from Jatropha curcas, 2882 nucleotides. The record is from RefSeq and is a predicted model, not a curated record. NCBI's taxonomy places the organism in Eukaryota, Viridiplantae, Streptophyta, Magnoliopsida, Malpighiales, Euphorbiaceae.